UCCGUAUUAUGGCUUGCUGAUUGGUUGCGUAGCAACGUUUUUCUAACACCAAAACAACUCCGCCAUAGUGUAUUUCAAAAGGUAAAAUGCACCAAACUAAAACCAACCAACACUAGUUUACAUUGUCUAGAACCAGAGUGGUGCGAAGGCCUGCCGGGAACCUUUGAGCAAACAUGGACCUGGAUAUCCGUCAGCAUCUUAUCGAAGCACAGCAGAACCGAGACCCCGCGGCGCUGCAGGCCGCCUUCCGGUUACUGACCUCCGCCGGAGCCGCUGCUGAACUCCGCGGAAGGAUUCCUCGAGUUCCCGCGGAUCUGUACGUCGUUUGUGCGGAGGUUGCUCUCCAGCUGGGCUGUGUGGACACGAGCACCGAGUGCCUAAAGACCUAUUUCAAUGGGAAUCCACUGCCAAGUCAAUUCCUGAGUCGAGCCUUUCUCUGCCAAGGGCAGCUGCAGCCUCCGCCCGCCGCUGGGAGUGUGGUGAGGACCGUCACUCAGACCCACUCCUCUGAGGUACUGAGAGGGUUUGAUUCCUUCACAAAGACCAAACACCAAGCCAGCAGCCAUGAAAAGAAUGGAACUGAUCCUCUAUCUCCACCAUAACCUCUGUUGAAUCGAUGUCUUUGGUUCAUCAGUCCAUCCAUCCUUUCAUCCAUCCAUCCAUCCAUCCAUCCAUCCAUCCAUCCAUCCAUCCAUCCAUCCAUCCAUCCAUCCAUCCAUCCAUCCAUCCUUUCAUCCAU
This 739-nucleotide long non-coding RNA is filed under the name Oryzias sinensis (Chinese medaka). Its description in RNAcentral is "lncRNA (ENSOSIG00000008299.1)". The record is from RNAcentral. Lineage: Eukaryota; Metazoa; Chordata; Actinopteri; Beloniformes; Adrianichthyidae.